AGUAAUGUUGGCCUCGACAUCACACAGGCCAGCUAACCGAGUUUUGCAUUUCCAUCAGGCAACAACAUCAAUACAACUACAAUUACAAAGUAAUGCAUCUAAAUAAUAUACUUCCAAUCCCUUGGUGACCCAGAUCCAUAAACAAAAUUGAAGGGUGGAUGCGAGGCUAAUAGUACUACUAGAUAACAACCCCUCCAAUAACCGAAGGAUACCCGAUAAAUUUCUGCUCGUUUAUCUUCCCCUUCUCUCUCCUUUCCCACAAACCGCGUCUCCGCUUCUCGAGCCCACCCACAAAUCUCCUUCAAGAGAGAGAGAGAGAGAGAGAGAGAGAGAGAGGAGGCACACCUGCCCGGAUCAUAACCAAGAUUCAAAUUUGCCCGCUCAUCAAUCAUGGUUCUUGAUUCAUUAUCAUCGCCUCACAGGAGGUCGCAAAACACAUUCUUUCUGCCAUCUCCUAAGAAGCCUCAAUCAUCUCGUGAUGAUGUUGGUAGUUGGUCUGCCCUGGUUGAGCGGCAUCGCUUUCUCUUGACAACGCUAGUGGUACUUGCCUUCCUGUGCACCAUAUAUCUUUACUUCGCGGUGACCUUGGGGGCACCACAAGCUUGCUCAGGGUUGACGGGCGAUGAAAUGACCGUAUGUCAGGAAAAAUCAGCCCUGCAACAUGGAAAGUUGAAAUAUCGCUAACUCCGCUUGACAGUUUGCAAUGUGCUUGUGGUCCAAAUUCGUAUAUUCUUUAGUGGUGGAUGCUGAAAGGGCUUGUAUUGAUGCUGAUGUACAUUUUAAUGGAGUGAGAGGGGAUUGUUUGUGCUUUGAAACCGUAUAACUGAAUAGGUCCCAUUUUAUUAUUGUCAUGGUGUACUAAAAAUAUCAUGGCACUAAUUCAUCCCGGAGAUUCUGAUGGUCUCACACACACAAACACGCGGGCGCGCGCACACACACACAUCUCUUUAUUUUGUGUGCUCUUUUAUUUUGUGUACUCCUGAGAGUAUGUACUCCUACCACAUAGAUGAUUUUUCUAUAUCUCUUUAUUACUUUUUAAUAUAGUACUUCAUUAACAAC
RNAcentral lists this ribosomal RNA (1059 nucleotides) under Triticum aestivum (bread wheat). Its description in RNAcentral is "partial small subunit ribosomal RNA". Lineage: Eukaryota; Viridiplantae; Streptophyta; Magnoliopsida; Poales; Poaceae. The record is from RNAcentral.